Molecule: ribosomal RNA, 295 nt
Filed under: Clostridioides difficile
Lineage: Bacteria; Bacillati; Bacillota; Clostridia; Peptostreptococcales; Peptostreptococcaceae
Description: partial 23S ribosomal RNA
Rfam family: Bacterial large subunit ribosomal RNA
Source: RNAcentral
AGGGCAACAGCCCAGAUCGUCAGCUAAGGUCCCUAAAUGUAAGUUAAGUGGUAAAGGAUGUGGGAUUGCACAGACAACCAGGAUGUUGGCUUAGAAGCAGCCACUCAUUCAAAGAGUGCGUAAUAGCUCACUGGUCGAGUGAUCCUGCGCCGAAGAUUUCCGGGGCUAAAACUUACUACCGAAGCUACGGCAUCAGUAAUGAUGGGUAGGGGAGCUUCCCAUACGGGUUGAAGCAUGACCGUAAGGACAUGUGGACAGUAUGGGAGUGAGAAUGUUGGCAUGAGUAGCGAGAUGU